This is a long non-coding RNA of Haliotis rubra (blacklip abalone), 4021 nucleotides long. RefSeq lists it as uncharacterized. NCBI's taxonomy places the organism in Eukaryota, Metazoa, Mollusca, Gastropoda, Lepetellida, Haliotidae. The record is from RefSeq and is a predicted model, not a curated record. The transcript has 2 exons.
UGUUGUGUCGGAGACCUGGCACUCGUCAUGUCGGUGUUGUGUCAGAGACCUGGCACUCUUCAUGUCGGUGUUGUGUCAGAGACCUGGCACUCGUCAUGUCGGUGUUGUGUCAGAGACCUGGCACUCGUCAUGUCGGUGUUGUGUCAGAGACCUGGCACUCUUCAUGUCGGUGUUGUGUCGGAGACCUGGCACUCGUCAUGUCGGUGUUGUGUCUGUGACCUGGCCCUUCCCGUGUUGGUGUUGUGUCGGUGUUGCACUUGUGUCUGUACAGUAUCACCAAGUGAGUUUCGUGGUUAUCAUGUGUGCUUAACGUGUACCUGUGAUGUUGAGUGACGGGAGGCUGAUGGUGUCAUACUGCAUGAAUAGUAUGUGUGUAUGUUCGUUUGUAUUUAUGCAUUUUCCAUUUUGAUCAUUUUGUUAUAAAGAUUUUCAAGGCACCAACUCGGAUUUAUUCAAAUCAAAGUGUGACAAGUGCCCCUGAACCAGUGUAUGUCACUACCUGAACAAAUUGUGACAAUACCUUGACGAUACUUGAAUUAUGUAAAUAACAAUUACAUAAGUAACCAUCUUCUGUUGCCAUCUCGUGUCCUUCUCAAAAGAAGCAAAAAAUUGUGUCUUGUCAUUUACCAAUAGUCACUUGAAAUAUUGGGUUUUUUAAACUUCCUGGAGUACUAUAUAAUGGUCAAGUAUGAAUGUUAUAUACCACUCAUUGCUUGACAGGGAUACAACCUCAGACCUGUAUGACAAUGUCAACAUUUGUAAGUUCAGCAUGCCAGGCAGUAUUAGAAACUGUUCACAUGACAACUAUUCACAAUCCCCCUCAAUUCCCACUUGGACAUGUCGGAUAUCCCUAUCAAGACUUGAGUAGUGUAUAUAUGAAGACAGGCAGUGAGUUAUUUGGCUGGCACUGUUUACUUAUUCACACCUGAUCUCGGAUCCUCCCUGUACAAUACGCUGCAGGUUAGACGACAGUUUCUAGUUGGUCACCUUCAGUUGUGGUUUAUUAACAAUGUCUGUCAGGUAAAUGUGACAUUGAUGGCUUCAUGUAUUAUGUGUUUUAGACAACCAGUAUGGACAGGCCACCUUUUUCCAUUAACUGCUGCAAUUAUGUUAAGCUAUUAGAGUAGUGAUCAUUUGUCUGAAAAAUAAAAGAAAAAUUUACUGAUUUGAUAGCAACGUUGGGAGUGGACUUAAUCUUUGGUUGUAUCGGUCAAGCAUUUGUUGACAAUGUUCAAGAUGAUGAAAACGUACAUUUGGGUAAAAACAAAUACUUAUUUUGGUUUCUCCAUAUUUUGCUACAGUGUAAUUUAGAAUGAUUUAUACUUCUGAUGACUGUAUACUGAUGUCAACGGUUAAUACUUGCAGCAGAUUCCAUUGUUGCAGGUUAACCUUCUGGCAAUACAUUGUGCAGGAUAACUUAUGUAUGUACGGUGAACUGGUCUUUCAUUUCAGAUUUCUGUUGAAUUAUUUGUAUUAUGCCUAGAAUGUAUAUUUGAUUUGUACAUUUUUGUAUAUUUUUAUACCAAAUUUGUUUAUUUAAAUUUGUGAUAUUUGUAUUUAAAUUCAUUCCAAUUGGUUUGUAGGGUGGUGCGCAAUGAAAUCUUGGUGCUCGUGUUUAUUUUAAUUUGUGAGACGCACAUUCAUUGCUGUUUUCAUGUCCAACUCUUGUGUGUGGUGCAUGUCCAUCUUGCAGUGGUUUAUUACCGAACAAUGAGAAUGUUUGGUGUAAUUAUCAUCGUCUUCACCCAGUAUCACUUCCAGUCGCCACCAGGUGCCAUUUUGUUCCCCGUCAUCAGCAGGUGGCGUAUUUCCUCCAGUCGCCACCAGGUGGCGUGAUAUUACCCAAGUGACCACCAGGUGCCAUUUUGUUGCCCCCUGUCACCACCAGGGGGCGUAAUUCUCCCUGUCACCACCAGGUGCUGUGUUCUCAUCAUUUAGUGCUAUUUGAGUUUGAUAUAUAUUUUUUUAAGCUCAUCCUAUUUAAAAUACAAGAAUUAAUAUCUCUGCUGAAAUAGUUGCUUUUAUCAGGAUGAGUUGUGAAUUAGUUUUGGUUAGACAAUCUUUUUACUGUUUCACAGGAAUGUAUUGAAAAAAUAUAUGGAUAAUUUACAGAAAUAAUUAUUGAGAACUUGUAUUCGUGCAUUUUAAUCAAAGAUACUAGACUCUCAUUAUUUCCCAUUACAGAAAUAUGGGCUACAAGUGCCCUCUUGAAGUGUAAAACUAAAUAUAUUGUCUGGCUUUAUAUUAAUUUGGACCUUCGUUAGAACAUCUCCUUUGCAGUGUGCUGAUGGACUAGGUUGAAACACCACUGACGUAUUUAGCGAUGUGUGGAAGGUGAAAUACUUAAUCCAUCCAGCAGAUUUUUGUAUUGUUUUUCAUGUGCUUGAUUUUAUAUUUUAUUUAUUCUGCUAAAUGUAAGUUGAUUUGAGAUGACUCUAUGAGACCAAACAAGGCAUGAGAGUAUUUGAAGUACAGCUCCCGGACUGCUAUCAUGUGCCUUGCUACCUCGUGCCGUGUCGUCCCGUGUUCCAUGUGUAGCAGCAGCAAGGCCAACCUUCUUAUAGAACUCGGACUCAUUAUAGACACAUUAGCAUCAGCACCUGAAUCAUGGUGGAUGUUUCAACUGUUACGGUUAAAUAUACAAACACUGUCAAAUGUUAUUGAACCUGACAACUUUUUUCCCCGUCAAUUAAAGAAAAACUUUAGUGAGUAGAAAAAUACGAAUACAUGAUAUCAGUUGUACUUAGAGUGUAUCAAAUUAAACAAAUCAAAUCCAGGACCCAAGUGAAAUAAAAUGGCUGGCCUAUUCAGAAUAAAUGGAUUAUUCUUGUUAGGACGAGAUGUUUAUGAUGCUUGUAGAGUAUAUGGCAAAUACUUAUCAAUUUUACAGUAAUGUAGAUUUCUUCAUUUGGCAUCUCCACUAGUUUUGUAAUGAUGUUGUUUGGAUGUAUUAAUUGGCUGAAAGAUUCGUUGAUUGUAUAUCGCCCGAACUAGAGACCAGGACCCAGUUCCAUGAAGCUGUCUCAGGGCCAUUGUAAAUGCUGACGUGUAGGAAUUACAAACGAUAGUUGAGCGUCGUAUGACCCUGGCCUAAUAUGGCCCUGGAAACCUUUCACUGCUGAGUGAUAUGUGCUUUGUACAGGGUUACAGAUAUUAUCUGUGUUAGACUCAGAAUCAUUUCUAAUUAAGAUAAAUGGGUAGAAGUAUGUCCAAUAUGCAGAAUCCAACCCUGACUAAAGAACCACAUAAGGAAUGAGUCAAAUAAAGGCUACCUAGGUCAAGCACCUUUUAGUGCUGCAGCUCCCGGAGCUGUAGAUGAAAUCAAGUGUGGACGUUUAAUGUGCUUCACAUAUGAAACUGACUCCAUUUUCACUUCUGUUAAAUCAAAGUUUCACAAAUGUGGAAUAAAACAACUAGAUUAAGACAUUGUCCCUUCCAAGUUCCUACCAUUUCACUUACAAAUAAAACCUUGCUUUUCACUGAUCAUUAAAAUGAUUUUGUAGUUUCGUUUGUAUUUCAGUUUCAGCCAUUGACACUGAUUUUUUAAGGGAAAGCUGUAUUUAAAUUAGCCAGGUAUUUAGAUUACAAAGGCUUUAAGACAUCCCGAGUGUUCCAAGUAUGUCGGAAGCUGUGAAACAGUUUCCAUGUAUACACAUAUUCAUGUUGGAAUAAUGUCUCUUUCUGUACUCGGGGGAGGUAGGGAUGAGGACAAUAUUCAAUUACUUCUGCUGGGAGUGUAAAUAUUUCCAUCCAGACUUCUACUGGAGACUGGGACCAAACAAGGGGGAUAACCAGGUGGAACUACACAUAUGUUGUUUUCAACAUUGAAGAAUUCCAUUAUGUCACAUGAUGUAUAAAGGAUGUUAUACUUUGUGGAUAUGUCUACCAGCAGGCCAGAUUGUCUUGUGAGCUUUAAGUGGUUUAAUUUCAUUUAUGUGUAGUCCACUGUUUGUCCUGUCCUUCUCUCAUCGGAAAUACAAGCUUAUGAGAGCAUGAACUAAAUAAAAUCUUCACAGAGGAA